Molecule: transfer RNA, 72 nt
Organism: Bernardetia litoralis DSM 6794
Lineage: Bacteria; Pseudomonadati; Bacteroidota; Cytophagia; Cytophagales; Bernardetiaceae
Rfam family: tRNA
About the family: Transfer RNA (tRNA) molecules are approximately 80 nucleotides in length. Their secondary structure includes four short double-helical elements and three loops (D, anti-codon, and T loops).
Source: Rfam
GCUCCGUUCGUCUAGCGGUUAGGACGCCAGGUUUUCAUCCUGGUAGCAGGGGUUCGAUUCCCCUACGGAGUA